This 706-nucleotide long non-coding RNA is filed under the name Ananas comosus (pineapple). RNAcentral describes it as "long non-coding RNA (ACOM_LNC000518)". Lineage: Eukaryota; Viridiplantae; Streptophyta; Magnoliopsida; Poales; Bromeliaceae. The record is from RNAcentral.
UAUUUUUACAGUAGCGUUUAGGCUGUUCCGGACUGUUGGGUGCCGUCGGGGUUGACGGUGGACCCAUAUCGCCAUUUUGGCGUCGGAUUGUGCCGAAGGCACGUGACUGUUGGUUGUUAGACCAGUUAGUGUCGGUUACUUGGACUUUGGCUUGAAAGAGCCUGAUUUAGCUCGACACAGAUACGCUGCAUACUCGGUUGGGUAGCUCCCACGAGUGCCACUCCGGAGACGGGCGCUGUGCUUUCGCGUUGGUGUCGUGCAUACCGAUUACACUUGCUCUCCACGGACUGGUUAGUGUGGAGGUAGUUGGAUAGUCUCAACUGGGCGGGACGGGUGUGUUCACAGUCCCUGGGGCGGGUAUGUUUACAGUCCCUAAAGAGAUUGGGUCAGAAUUGACAUUUCUACAGUAGGUUAGCUUAGAGCAUGAUAGUGUAAUAAAUGGUAGCUGUAGAUUUUAUUCCGGCAUUUAUUAUUACCUUUGCUCCCUUCUGUAGACUUAGUGGGUGGACCGAUAAUGUUGAGGGCGGUACCCACUGAGGACUACUUGUUUUACAGUAGUUCUCACGCCCUAUUGUUAUCCCGUUUUUGUAGAGCCAUCGUCUUCGGCUGCUGCUGUUGCUGAUAAGGAUCGAGGCAAGGGCGUCGCGAGUUAGAGCCCUACCCGACGAGCCAAGCUAGAGGUGCCCCUACAGCAGGUAGUUGUUUU